RNAcentral lists this unclassified non-coding RNA (942 nucleotides) under Leishmania donovani. RNAcentral describes it as "gene:LdHU3.16.1620(CDS-product:hypothetical_prote in_conserved)". Lineage: Eukaryota; Euglenozoa; Kinetoplastea; Trypanosomatida; Trypanosomatidae. The record is from RNAcentral.
UAAAACGAUAUACUGCAUCGGCAUCUGUGGCGCGCCCUGAAAGAGGCGCAGCGCGAUCCGGCCCCGUGAAGUCGCAGCAGCUCCUCGCAUCCUCAGGCAACUACUUGCGGCCAACCUUUGCCCCAUCUCCCCAACCGCUCUCUCGCUUCGUCAUGGGCAUCCAGAUUCCGUGGUUGUUUGUGUGCGUCAGCACCGUGCCGGUCUUCAUGAUCUACACGAAGACGAAGCGCAUGGAUGCUCGCGAGAUGCACGAGAUCCAGAUGCGCGUUAAAUACCAUUCCGAGUACUGGAAGAAGGGCAACGUCUUUGUGAAGGAGUUCCAGGACAAGGUUGCCGCCCAGGUAAUGCGCACCGCGGAUCCGCUAGUGGGGAAGGACAUUGCCAACAUCUCCGUCAAGGAGCUGGCCGCUGCCGAGAAUCCAGUGCGUGCACGACGAUGGCUGCUCUUUUAAAAAGUUGUACCAUCAUGAGGGAGCUGGCACGGUGGCCGAGGCACCACGUGCAUCGCUUCUCCCUUGACCUCAAAAUCAGGCACGCACACACACACGCUCACACGCAGAGUCAACGAACCAACAAGAGGGUGUGAGGCGCAACGACCGCGAAGCCACCCUGCGACAGUGGACGCGCUUCAUGUCGUUGUCACCUUGCGUGUCGGCCACCACUACCAUGCUGGCCAAGGCGACAGUGCUCGGUAGACUUGAGCGCGCAGGCAAGUCCCUCCCUCCUUCUCUCUCUGUGGGUAUGGACGUGAAACGGGCGCAGUCUUUCGCCGGCCCGGGGCAUUGAUUUGUGUGCGUGUACGCGUCUGUGGGCGUGUGCGCCGCGACCGUAUCCGCUUGUCAGUGCCCGCACAUCUUCUCAUGCCAGCAUGUGUAACCCACCACUCCCCUUCCCACCACCACCACCACCACCUCUCUCGAUCUCUCUUGUUCACCACCUCAG